Molecule: long non-coding RNA, 856 nt
Filed under: Trifolium pratense (red clover)
Lineage: Eukaryota; Viridiplantae; Streptophyta; Magnoliopsida; Fabales; Fabaceae
Description: long non-coding RNA (TPRA_LNC014228)
Source: RNAcentral
ACAGUAUGUCAUACUGCAAAAAUAGCUUUACAGACCCACCAAGCUAGCUGAUGAAAAAGCAUUAUCCUUUUUCAAAAACCACUAAUACUAAUCUAAAACUGUCAAAGAAUAUUUUAAUAGCUUCUUCUUUAAUUUUUUAUAUUCAUCUUCAAGUGCUUGCUUUAUUUAUUAUACAAUUUCAUGAUGUAAUUGCACAAGUACCAAUAUUUGUUUUUAUUAUAAAAGCAUGUAAUGUACAUUUUGUUCUUCCUACCAAUACAAAGUUUCAUCUCAUCAAACACACGGCAUCUCUACUAGUCUUCAAUGGCAGCUCAAGGUACAACAAUUCAAUUAUCUCUCUCUCUCUCUCUCUCUCUCUCUCUCUCUCUCUCUCUCUCUCUCUCUCUCUAGUUUGUUACAUGUAUUAUGUAUCUAUUCUUCUAUCUUCUCAAACAAAAUAACUUCUUCUAUACUUUACUUAUAUUAUUGUUGUUCAUAAUAAAAUACUAUAUCAACAAAUUCAGUUGCAAAAUUUGACAUAAUUUGUUUUCUUGCAUCACAGUUUUCACCAAUAUUCAAUCAACAAGAUAGUUAAUGCUACAACUUGUUAUAAAGCUGCAUUCAUUCCUCUGCUUUGUUUCUGACAUUUCAAGACUCAAACAAGGAUUCUCUCAUCUUUUGGCCUCUUGGAUUGGUGUUUCUAGUUCUUCUUGCAGCUAUAUAUAUCAGCUGCAUCCGGUAAGUUCAUCUGUUCAAAAUUCAUUUUUGCACUUACGAUAAAUUAUGAAACACCGAUAUAGACACGGACAUCAGAAAUGAACAUCAGACAUGUUAUUGACACUGACAGAGUUACACAUGUAGACACUUGUAACAAUUU